CCUACGGGCGGCAGCAGUGAGGAAUAUUGGUCAAUGGCCGGAAGGCUGAACCAGCCAAGCCGCGUGAAGGACGAAGGUGCCAAGCAUUGUAAACUUCUUUUGUCAAGGGACAAAAUCAGGCUCGAGAGCCUGACCGAGGGUACUUGAAGAAAAAGCAUCGGCUAACCCCGUGCCAGCAGCCGCGGUAAUACGGAGGAUGCGAGCGUUAUCCGGAUUUAGUGGGUUUAAAGGGUGCGUAGGCGGACGGUUAAGUCAGAGGUAAAAGCCCGGGGCUCAACCCCGGCGAGCCGUUGAAACUGGCUGGCUUGAGAUGUCGAGAGGUAUGCGGAAGGCGGAGUGUAGCGGUGAAAUGCUUAGAUAGUGCGCAGAACUCCGAUUGCGAAGGCAGCAUACCGGCGGCGAUCUGACGCUGAGGCACGAAAGCGUGGGUAUCGAACAGGAUUAGAUACCCUAGUAGUC
Molecule: ribosomal RNA, 459 nt
Filed under: uncultured bacterium
Lineage: Bacteria
Description: partial 16S ribosomal RNA
Rfam family: Bacterial small subunit ribosomal RNA
Source: RNAcentral